UUCUCCUGCAGACCAAACCCGCCGGUGAGAGGUAGGAGGAAAGGCCAGAGCACCCCAUCCACUACCCUGACAUCCGGAAGCGCCCACAGGUGUGGAGUUCACGUGUGCAUGGGCGCAGGAGAGAGCAAGAAGAGGGUCUGGUCGGGUGACCUUGGGCAAAGUCGCCAUCCCCCUCAGCCCAUUCCCAUUUCCUGGGUAUUUGGGGAAAGGCCAACUGAGCUUGUGGUGUUUUUUUUGGGUUUUCUGUGUGUUUUUUUGUACCGGGGAUCGAACUCAGGUCCUCACGCUUGCGCAGCAGGCGGCGAAACCACUGAGCUAGAUCCCAGGCCUGAACCUGUGGUUUUUAAUGAGCUUGCCGCAGGGGUCCUGGCACACCCCUAAUAUAAAAGCCCAGCUCAUAUAAAAGCGAGUAGAAUGUGUCCAAGGUCUUGUUUAGUCUGAACUCUUAAGGCACCCACAUAAGCUCUAAGAAGACAGGAAUGUUUGCCUGCCUUGUUCUGUAAUGUGUCCCAGGUGAGCGCCUGGCGUGGGUAGGUGUUGAUAAAGAUUUGCAUGCAUGCACGAAUGAAUCCUUUACUAUUUGAUGAAUUGUUUUGUGUUUUUUUGAGAUGGCGUCUUACUGUGUUGCCCAGUCUGGUCUUGAACUCCUGGGCCCAAGGGAUGCUCCUGCCUCAGUUUCCCAAGCAGCCAGGGCUGCAGGCAUGUGUCACCACACUGCACAUAUUUGACAGGUUUUUAAACAUCCAGGGAAACACACUUCCGGCCUCCUCCCCUUCAGCAGGACUUUACUCACCUUUCAGGGUAGCUACGGCUUCUCCCACUUGUCGCAGGAGGAAGGCCCCAUCCUCCACGGCCUUUAGAGUGACCACUCGGCCAGCGGAAGAAGAGUCCUUCUUCAAGUCUUCCACAAAGUUUUCCAGCUCGCUGUGGGGAGAAGCAGAGUCGAAGAUGGAGCCGGAUGCAGAAGCCCUGGCUUGCCUGUGAAUCCAGCAAGAGAAAAGGUUUCUUAAGACUAAGGGAAAGGCUGCAGGAGACGCAGCACCACUAGGUGGCAGUAAGUGAACAGCGACUCGGCCUCCUGGAGCCUGGUCAAGGGGCCGGGCAGAGCCGAGGGAAGGCAGUGUCACCUGCGAAGAGACGGAAGAGCCUGCCCAAGGGCCUGGACGGAAUUUGCUUCUGAACAGAAUGCUCUGGCUGCACACCCAGCCAACCUCCCACGGACGCGCUCCGGCCCAAAUCCUGCUAUGGUUCCAUGCACGACCCGCAAGUCUGUCCGUGUGCAGCCAACCCUGUGAGCAGCUGCCAUCUGACCCAGAGUCACCGCGCUGAAACCUACGUUCAGAUCUCUUCUACACAAUGAGCCUCCCGGACUUCCCAGCCUGCACGCAGGAGACGCCCAACACACGGCUUUCCUUCGCUGUGCAACACGGACUUUCAACACGAUGCUGCUAUUAAACAGUGGUGUCCUUGCGGUUCACGUGCUUACGAAAGCUACUUAGAUGAAGCAGUGAAGAUACAUCUGCUAAUUCAAAACGAAAAGGGACCAUGGAGCUGCACAUCAGUGCGGAACAUCGCUUGAUACAGUGCUCAGUGAAGUGCCGGCUCCUCUGCAGAGGGUCAGACGUGCACAGACGCCGCAGUUUACAGUGUCCCGAUUGUUUUACUUUUCAUUCUACCUUUGUUAAAAGAAGCAUUUAGCUUGUUAAAAUACAUUUCAUCUGACUGUUAAUAGAAGUCCAACUAUUAUUUCCCUGUUUUUAAAAAAAAAACAAACAAAAAACAGAAGAGAAAGAGAGAUAAUCUUGACCCACUUUCUGUCCCUCAUUUUAGACCCAAAUUUCAUCUCUCUGCACUCCUGACUGCUUUGCCAGCACGAAAGGAACUUACUUUUGGGGCACAAGCGGAAGAAGAGGAACGGAGCGUGAUUAGAAUCUCCUCAUCUCCCGGAGUUGGAGUUUCUGGCUGUCUUUUAUAAUCUGUGCCUUCUCACUAGGCGGACCUGUGCAGGUACACCUUUUAUAAGGUAUAAGGAAACUGAACACAGAUAUUAAAAAGAUACACUUUAUGUAUUUAUUUUUUGCCCUUGACCUCUUUUCUUGUUGCUACUUCUACUGCCUUGUGUCUGGAUGGUCACAGUGGCUUCCUGUGUGGUCCGACCUCUCUUCCUCCCAUCAGUCCUGCACAGGACCCACAGAGCAGCCUCUGGAAAGCACAGCCCUCGCUCUCCUACCUCCCCGAUCAAAAAUCCUUCAGCAACCUCCUCCUCAUGUGACGCUGCUUCAGCGUCACCCACGUGGCUUUGUCUAAGUUCCACAAGAGAAAUUCUGGAUGUGGGGUUGGGCCUAGGGGCUUCCAUGGAAAUCAGAAAUCUAGGUUUAACGGGGCUUCCAGUGUUGGUCAGCACAGCCCGGACUGGCCUUAGGCGGAGUCCACGGUCGGAGGAUGGGCUAAGGUUCAGCAAGACAGCACGAAAAGAGGAACGGCACAACCCAAGUGUGACACAUCAUUCGCAUCUUGCACCCGAUUAUUCUGCGACACUGGUCUAUCCCUAGUUCUCCAAGCACGUCCUCUCUUGUUCCUGGUCUGUAGCGCUGUCGGUUUACAUGAAUCCUCGGCCUUGGGGGAUCUCUAGGCUCUGUGAUGAAAUCCACCAAUUUCAAAGUCAUCUCAGCGCAGUUUAACAGCUUCUGAAACUAUUGUGUGCAUGGUGCCGUGGUUGGCCUGUGGGGCACAUGGAAAAUAACUAACCCAGGCCUGAUGUUUCUGACCCCUGGGCUCAGAAGCAGUCUUUCCUUUGUGCAGGUUCACCUGGCACACAUAAAUCACCAGCCAUGCGCUGUACCACCUUUAUGUUCUGCUUGGUAGAGUUCAAGUGCCCUGUGCACAAGCUCACCUUAUUCACUCACGGCCAGCUCACAAAGCCAGGCAGAUAAAACCCUCUUAGGAUCCCUUUUCCCCCUUAUCCUUCCUAUCUCAUUCCUAUCCUGAGCUACUAGCCUCAGGACUCGAACUGGGGUUAGAGAUGCCUUUUCUAAACACCAGAAGCAAGAGUUAUUUUAGCAAACCAAAACCCACAAAUUUUAAAGGAAAGAACUUCUCACAUUUUCAUCAUUUUACUAGAAAACUUUUACAAAUAUAAGUGGCUAUACCGAAGUUUGAAAGAUAAAUCAUUAAACCUACUUUUAAUUUUUAUUUUAUUUAUUUAUUUAUUUUUGAGUACCAGGGAUCAAACUCGGGUCCUUGCGCUUGCACAGCAGGUGGUGAAACCACUGAGCUAAGUCCCCAGCCCUAAACCUACUUUUGAGUAAGCAGAAUGUCACAAAAUAUUUCAGAUAAAUAAUAGACUCAUUAACUCAUGGUAGGUGAUUCACUCUAUAAAUGUACAAACUAAGUAAAAAUUGAGAAGCUAUUUUGAGAUGUGAAUGAAUAGUGGUCUAAUUUAAUUUAUUAGGAAAUGGUAGCUCAAGUUCACUUUUUCCCCUCUAGACUGCCACGAGUGACACCCAUGUGAAUCAAACUCUGGGACUGGAACCAGGAUGCUGUAAGCCGGGCUUGGAUAGGAGCUAAGCUGUGGGACCGGGCACUUCCACCACUUCUGGUUACCCUGGCCAUGAGAUGAAUUUGAAAGUUGCUCCUUUAUAAUCCCACUUUGGGAGAUUUAAGCCUUCCAAGCAAAAGGAGAGUUACCAACAAUAGAGGAACCUACAAAAUUCCUAUUCAUUGUACUAAAAGGUGAAAUAGUUCUAGGAUAAACUUUUGUUGCACAAGCAACAAAACAUAUAUUACAUGAAAGAUGGGGCUGCCUCCUGUGGGGAAGUAAUAAAACUCUGCUGAUUUCAACAGUGACUCGGAGGGCCGGGGAUUUAGCUCAGUGGUUUAGGCGCCUGCUGCACAAGAGCAAGGCAAGGAUCCGAGUUUGAUCCCCGGUACCAAAAAAAAAAAAGGUCAACAGUGACUCGGUCGAUGCUUUCAAUAAAGACCUUAUGUAAGAUUGGUAACAGCCAAGGAGGCAUUGUUCACUCCAGAUCAGACACAUUUCACAUGGAAAUUCUUCUGCGAUUUUUAACUACCAUUGAACAAUGAGGAUAAUUUCAGUGCUGUGUUCUUUUGGCCAUUAGUUUUAAUUUAUCGAGAUUAAACACAGACUUCCUACUCAUCACUAGGUUUUGCCAUUUGCUUCUUUUAAUUUCAUGUGCCGCUGAGCCCCAGGAAAGGGUGACACCCCAAUCUGCAGAGAAACUGGCUCAGGCACUGGGGCUCUUGCUCUCUCAGGCUUGGAUGCAGAGAUAUUGGGGUUCGUGGUCACCAGGACCCGAAGGACUCUGACUUGUCCAGAGGAGGGGUUCAGUACAGAGCCAUGGAGAAAACAAAGAAGAACAAACACAAAGACAGUUUUCCUUUUCAGGCUGAACAGACUGGAAACCAGGCAC
Heterocephalus glaber (naked mole-rat) is the source of this 4430-nucleotide non-coding RNA. NCBI's taxonomy places the organism in Eukaryota, Metazoa, Chordata, Mammalia, Rodentia, Bathyergidae. The record is from RefSeq and is a predicted model, not a curated record.